AUACGUAGGGCGCGAGCGUUGUCCGGAAUUACUGGGUGUAAAGGGAGCGUAGGCGGGAGUGCAAGACAGAUGUGAAAUACAUGGGCUCAACCCAUGGGCUGCAUUUGAAACUGCAUUUCUUGAGUGAAGUAGAGGUAAGCGGAAUUCCUGGAGGAGAGGUGAAAUGCGUAGAUAUCAGGAGGAACACCGGUGGCGAAGGCGGCUUACUGGGCUUUUACUGACGUUGAGGCUCGAAAGCGUGGGGAGCGAACAGGAUUAGAUACCCUGGUAGUCCACGCUGUAAACGAUGAUUACUAGGUGUGGGGGGACUGACCCCUUCCGUGCCGCAGUUAACACAAUAAGUAAUCCACCUGGGGAGUACGGCCGCAAAGUUGAAACUCAAAUGAAUUGACGGG
RNAcentral lists this ribosomal RNA (395 nucleotides) under uncultured bacterium. RNAcentral describes it as "partial 16S ribosomal RNA". It matches the Rfam family "Bacterial small subunit ribosomal RNA", at positions 523 to 917 of the family's 1533-position model. The record is from RNAcentral.